Molecule: long non-coding RNA, 4538 nt
Organism: Pan troglodytes (chimpanzee)
Lineage: Eukaryota; Metazoa; Chordata; Mammalia; Primates; Hominidae
Exons: 4
Source: RefSeq, a predicted model, not a curated record
GUGCCCACAGCCUGGUUGUCCCAGCUUAUCUGAAGCCCCUCAGUGGGGUGAGCUUAGCAGAAGCCUCCAGGGAAUGACUCCCUGGAGCCAGAGUGCCCCAGACAGCCCAGCUCGGGGCUUCAGGGGCCCUGGCCGCCUCCCAGGCACUUAUUUUAUGUUCAGAAAGAGCAAAGCUGACAGGUAAUAAAUGGACGAGGAGGACUGGAGUGGGCUCUGACUGUCUGCCCGGCGCCUGCCCGGCCAGCCCGCCAUACCCACCACCACCCUCUCAGGGGGAUGAGAGCACCAUUAAUUACCCAGGAAGAAAGGGCGCCAUGAGGACGCACCCAAUGUUGCUUGGGGACAUCAUCUAUGGCCGCAUUUUCUGAGAGAAGCACCAAGCCUGAAGCUUGGCUGUCACCCCCACCACCCUCUGCCAUCAGCCGGCCAGGCUUUCCUUCUCCCCAGGUCGGUGCCAACAGUUCUCCAAACAGGAGCUCAAGCCACCGUCCCACUUGCCCUGUGAAGAAGGAACUGUUAUCAUUACAUUUUACAGACCAGACAGAGGGAUGCUGGCACCCAAGCCUGACGAGACCCACAAAGGAUGUUCCCUGAAGCAGAACCCCCACGGAGGGGUGGCUAAGUCAAUCUCAUACUGCAGAAAGUUCUACGCAGCAGAUAGAGACAGUGAGGUGGAAUUCUACAGCUGAAUUAGAAAAAUGUGUCCAAAUAUCUUACUGAACGAAAGAAGCAAGUUGCAGAACGAUACAUGACUUUAAAAAAGAAAUUUAAACAGAAUCAUAUUAUUCUAUGGAUAUAUACAUGUGCAUGAAAGUGCAAGGCAGCACUGAGAAAAAUGCCCUCCAAAGGCCUCCCACGCAUUGGCUAGACUCUGCUGCCAGGGGCCCACCCCAACUCUGCCUCAGCCCUAGCCCAGCCCCGCUCUUCAUACACAGGAAGAUCAUGACCCACCGACUCUCACAUCCUGCUGCCAGGAGAGUACACAGCCACAGUCUUUGCAGAGAGUGAGUAGGCAACAUGGAUCAAAAGUUAAAAAUCCAUAAACGUCCAUUUUAAAUUCAUAGAUUCUCCUUCUACAUGCUAUCCUUCAGAUAAACUCUCACAGGCAUGUAAGAACAGAUGUACAAGGAUGUUUAUGCACUCCGGUUUGAAGCAGCAGACAAAAAAAAAAAAAAAAGCACCAAAACUGUAAGCAACGUCUGUGUCCGUCACAGGGGGCCUGGUUGAAUAAAUUAUAGUCUCUCCUGAAAAUGGAAUCCUGUGUGACCGUUCUGCAGCGCGAGGUGGAAAUGUGUAUACCGACACCAUGGACUCGAGGUGAAGAUGCACGGGAUACUUCAGGAUGUGUGGGAUGAUCUCCCGGGUGGAUAGAUUCUUACAUAUGCUUCUGUGUGUGUGUGUGCGUGUGUGUGUGUGUGUGUGUUGAGUAGGGAUGAAGAAAAAAGGCUUAGUUUUCAGUCUAUAAUAUUUGAUUUUAUUUUUAAUAAACAAAAUCAUGACAUGCCAUUUUUAUAGACUAAGAAGCAGAUUUUGGUGCAGGAUGUUGAUGGUGGGGGAGGCUGUGCUUGUGUGAGCACAGAGAGUAGAUGGGAUCUCGUACUUUCUGCUCAAUUUUGCUGUGAACCUAAAACUGAUCUAAAAAAUAAAGGCUAUUUUUUAAAAAAUAGAUUAAAAGUCUUUAGAAAUUCAAAACACAAGAGAACCUUUUCCUCCAAAGUCAGUGCUUCUCCAGGUUGAAUCUUCCUGUGCCUUCGUCAUUCUUGAGCAAGAGCCACUCUCCGAAAGCUCAAACCAGGGGGUGCUGUCAAGGUUUCUCUUCUGGCUGGGCGCGGUGGCUCACACCUGUAAUCCCAGCACUUUGGGAGGCUGAGGCAGGCGGAUCACCUGAGAUCAGGAGUUUGAGACCAGCCUAGCCAACAUGGUGAAACCCUGUCUCUACUAAAACUAUAAAAAUUAGCUGGGCAUGGUGGCAGGUGCCUGUAAUCCCAGCUACUCGGGAGGCUGAGGCAAGAGAAUCACUUGAACCCGGGAGGUGGAGGUUGCAGUGAGCCAAGAUCGCACCACUGAACUCCAGCCUGGGCAAUAGAGCAAAACUCCACCUCAAAAAAAAAAAAAAAAGGUUUCUCGUCUGAAGUUUGGUCUACACUAUCUUGUCUGCCCAGAGUGCCUCACAUCUUCAUUUUUACCAAUACAAAUAUCCUGCUCCAUGAAAGCCCAUUUUGGAUGCCCUCACCCCCAGAAACACAGGCUCUCUGAGGACAGUCUGUGUCCUGAAUAUAUCUCUGCAGCCUCCAGGGAUGCCCAGUGCCAGGCACAAGGCAAGAGCUCAUUAAACGUGUGCCAAGUCACUGGAUGCCCUCCUCUGAACACAUUAACAUUUCUGAAAGCCCCAAGCACUGUCUAGACAUCUCUCUGGGGCCACUCAUCUUGCCUUGAAUCAUAAUUCUGCCUGCCCUUCUUAGUAGGGAGCUCCUCAGAGGGGGCUCCCAGGGCCCACACCCCAUGUGUGCCCCAGCCCUAUAGCCCACUUGGCUCAGGAAUCACAAACGCAAAUGCCAGUGUGAGCCAGGAGGGAAAGGAAAGGAGAGAAGCAGGCUUGGCCAGGCAGGCUAAAUGGGGAACACACUCCAGCCCACACUGUCCUAUUGGAAUGUGGGCCCACGAUGGCCGGAAGAUCAAGUUUACAAGAAGCUACCAGAUUUGGAUGUAAAAUCCUGAUUGUUCAAUGGAGACAACUAGAUCACAUAUUAAAAUAAACACACACCAUACAGGUCACAGCAAAUAGGGCUGAAGGCCAGACUGGCCCAGACUCCCUGCCUGUGGUGCCCCAGGAAGCAACAGUUCAGAAUUGGCAUCAUUGGGAAAAAAAAAAAAAAAAAGCAGAAAGCCCUCCUGAUCCUGCCAUCCCAUCAGCCCAAACUCCAAAACCUACUCACUGCAGAACCCAAACCUCACUGCCAAAGGGAGAUUCAAAGCCCAGCCAUUGGCCAGGCGUGGUGGCUCACGCUUAUAAUCCCAGCACUCUGGGAGGCCGGGGCAGGCAGAUCACCUGAGGUCCGAAGUUUGAGACCGGCCUGGCUAACAUAGCAAAAUCCUGUCUCUACUAAAAAGGUAAAAAUUAAAAUUAAAAUUAAAAAAAAAAAAGAGUUCACCAGGUAUGAUGGUGCGCACCUGUAGUCUCAGCUACUCGGGGGCUGAGGCGCAAGAAUCGCUUAAACCCAGGAGGCAGAGGCCGCAGUGAGCCAAGAUCCCACCACUGCACUCCAGCCUGGGCGACAAGAGUGACUCUGUGUCAAAAAAAAAAAAAAGCCCAGCCACUUUGGUAGCAUCUAUGUUGGCACUGCAGCUCCCAGCUGUGUGACAGGGGUGAAUGACUUCACCUCUCUGAGCCUCUCUCUCUGAGCCUCUACUUCCUCCUCUGUAAAAUAUGGGGAAAAACAAUAACUUCCUACGGAUGUUAUGUGGACACGUCACAGAGGGGCUGACUGCCAAAGCAGGGCCCCUCCCUCCCCAUCUCAGCCCCUCAUCCAUGCCCUGGAUGGGGCAGGCAGUGCGAGUGCUUAGCCUCCGAGAUCCUGGCCCAGGAAGGCCUGUUUAUAGCAGCGUGCUCUUCUCGCAGCCCCCUAAAUCCCCACAACAGAAAUGAAUACUUAUUGAGACUUACGUGCCUGGCACUGUGUUAAAUGCUUCACGUACGUUCCUGUCUUUUAACUUUCUCAGUAAUUCCAGAAGGUAGGUACAGUUGUGUGUUGCAUAAUGAUGGAGAUAUGUCCUGAGAAAUGCAUCAUUAGGCGAUUUUGUUGUUGUGUGAACAUCAUAGAGUACACUUGCACAAACCUAGAUGGUGUAGCCUACUGCACGCCUAGGCUAGAUGGUGGGUAGCCUGCUGCUCCUAGGAUACAAACCUGUACAGCAUGUUACUGUACUGAAUACUGUAGGCAAUUGCAAUACAAUUGUAAAUACUCAUGUAUGUAAACAUAGAAAAAUACAGUAAAAAUAUGGUGCUAAAUCUUAUUGGACCACGAACAUAUAUGCAGUCUGUCCUUGACCGAAAUAUCAUUAUGUGGCACAUGACUGUAUUUUUACCUCCCCAUCUUACAGAUGAGCAAACUGAGCCUCAGAGAAGUGAUCUGACUUGUCCAAGGCUGGUUUGUAAGUGGCAUGGUCUGGAUUUGGCCGUAGGCUAUUUCAGCAAUCUCAGCCACCACUCCAUCCUGCUCCUCAGGUGCGUGCCUUCCUCCUUGCCACGAACCUCUGUGACUCCUACAAGCUGCCAGGUGUUAACCUGGUCAGUCCUGGGGACACCAGGAACAACACCAGCUCCUGCCUCUGGGCAGCCCCACUGGGUCCGUGGCACAGACAACCAUAGACUCUGCCUGGAAAAGCUGCUUCAUGGAGAAGGUGACACCUGAGCCAGGGCCAACAGGUGCACAGGGGCUUCUCAGUCUAGCAGGUGAUUAAACAUAGACUCAAGUAACCAGCCAUGGAGUUGAAAAUCCAGCUAAGAGCUACGAUGGAACCAGAGAAACCAGCUCCCC